RNAcentral lists this transfer RNA (76 nucleotides) under Sphingomonadaceae bacterium. Its description in RNAcentral is "tRNA-Lys". It matches the Rfam family "tRNA". From Rfam's summary of the family: Transfer RNA (tRNA) molecules are approximately 80 nucleotides in length. Their secondary structure includes four short double-helical elements and three loops (D, anti-codon, and T loops). Lineage: Bacteria; Pseudomonadati; Pseudomonadota; Alphaproteobacteria; Sphingomonadales; Sphingomonadaceae. The record is from RNAcentral. RNAcentral also lists the same sequence under 1 other name.
GGGCCGUUAGCUCAGUCGGUAGAGCAACUGACUUUUAAUCAGUAGGUCGCUGGUUCGAACCCAGCAGGGCUCACCA